UGCCCAGCAACUCCUAUCCCUACCUCCUCGCGGUACUGGCCGGGAUACGAGUAACCUUAGGGAAGAUCGUAUGCUGACAGGGAAGG
RNAcentral lists this ribozyme (86 nucleotides) under Aedes aegypti (yellow fever mosquito). RNAcentral describes it as "drz-agam-1 ribozyme". It matches the Rfam family "drz-agam-1 ribozyme". Lineage: Eukaryota; Metazoa; Arthropoda; Insecta; Diptera; Culicidae. The record is from Rfam by way of RNAcentral.